UAAGUCGGGACCUAAGCCGAGGCCGCAAGGCGUAGGCGAUGGACAAUCGGUUGAGAAUCCGAUACCACCAAAUACCGUUUGAGUGAAGGAGUGACGCAGGAGGGUAAGUCAAGCCAGCGGUUGGAAAAGCUGGUCCAAGCCCGUAGGGUAAGAGAUAGGCAAAUCCGUCUCUUGUAAAGCCUGAGAGGUGAAGGGGAGCGAAAACAAGUAGCGAAGUGGCUGAUCCCAAACUGCCAAGAAAAGCUUCUAGCGAGGUAAAAGGUGCCCGUACCGCAAACCGACACAGGUAGGUGGGGUGAGAAUCCUAAGGCGCGCGAGAGAACCCUCGUUAAGGAACUCGGCAAAAUGACCCCGUAACUUAGGGAGAAGGGGUGCCUCUAUAUCGUGACACAUUAACUUGUAGAGCGAGAAGAGGCCGCAGAGAAAAGGCCCAAGCGACUGUUUACCAAAAACACAGGUCCCUGCUAAAGCGAAAGCUGACGUAUAGGGGCUGACGCCUGCCCGGUGCUGGAAGGUUAAGGGGAAGUGUUAGACGCAAGUCGAAGCAGAGAAC
Molecule: ribosomal RNA, 553 nt
Filed under: Desulforamulus aquiferis
Lineage: Bacteria; Bacillati; Bacillota; Clostridia; Eubacteriales; Peptococcaceae
Description: partial 23S ribosomal RNA
Rfam family: Bacterial large subunit ribosomal RNA
Source: RNAcentral